GAUGAAGAACGCAGCGAAUUGCGAUAAGUAAUGUGAAUUGCAGAUUUUCAGUGAAUCAUCGAAUCUUUGAACGCACCUUGCGCUCCUUGGUAUUCCGAGGAGCAUGCCUGUUCGAGCGUCAUUUCACCACUCAAGCCUGGCUUGGUGUUGGGCGACGUCCCCUUUGGGGACGCGCCUCGAAACGCUCGGCGGCGUGGCACCGGCUUUAAGCGUAGCAGAAUCUUUCGCUUUGGAAGUCGGGGCCCCGUCUGCCGGAAGACCUACUCGCAAGGUUGACCUCGGAUCAGGCAGGGAUACCCGCUGAACUUAAGCAUAUCAAUAAGCGGAGGA
This 330-nucleotide unclassified non-coding RNA is filed under the name soil metagenome. RNAcentral's name for it is "partial contains 5.8S ribosomal RNA, internal transcribed spacer 2, and large subunit ribosomal RNA". The stretch from base 1 to 121 matches the Rfam family "5.8S ribosomal RNA", at positions 35 to 154 of the family's 154-position model. The record is from RNAcentral.